AAGUCGUAACAAGGUUUCCGUAGGUGAACCUGCGGAAGGAUCAUUAUUGAAUAAACUUGGCAUGGGUUUGAUGCUGGCUUUUUAAUGAGCAGGUGCACGCCUAUCCAUUUUUUAAUCCCCUGUGCACCUUUGUAAACCUGAGCCUUUCAAAAUGAAACAAUUAUUUCAUUUGGCCUAAGAAUUGUCAUGAUGCUGCAAAUGCAAGUCAGGACUUUUCUUGUUUCAGGUUUAUGUUUUUCAUAUACUCUAUAAAAAUCAAUCAGAAUGUUUGGUUAUUAUUGGCUUUUGUGCCUUUAACAAUUUAUAUACAACUUUCAACAACGGAUCUCUUGGCUCUC
This 338-nucleotide unclassified non-coding RNA is filed under the name fungal sp. Its description in RNAcentral is "partial internal transcribed spacer region". The stretch from base 1 to 46 matches the Rfam family "Eukaryotic small subunit ribosomal RNA", at positions 1786 to 1831 of the family's 1831-position model. Lineage: Eukaryota; Fungi. The record is from RNAcentral.